This 122-nucleotide ribosomal RNA is filed under the name Oryza sativa Indica Group (long-grained rice). Lineage: Eukaryota; Viridiplantae; Streptophyta; Magnoliopsida; Poales; Poaceae. The record is from RNAcentral.
CGGAUGCGAUCAUACCAGCACUAAAGCACCGGAUCCCAUCAGAACUCCGAAGUUAAGCGUGCUUGGGCGAGAGUAGUACUAGGGUGGGUGACCUCCUGGGAAGUCCUCGUGUUGCAUGCCUC